This 381-nucleotide ribosomal RNA is filed under the name uncultured eukaryote. RNAcentral describes it as "SSU rRNA". It matches the Rfam family "Eukaryotic small subunit ribosomal RNA", at positions 587 to 972 of the family's 1831-position model. The record is from RNAcentral.
AGCUCCAAUAGCGUAUAUUAAAGUUGUUGCAGUUAAAAAGCUCGUAGUUGAAUUUGUGGCUGUCGCGUGCGACCCGGCACCUAGUGCCGGUGUUUGUAUGCGUCGCCAUCUUUGGGUGGAACCUGUGUGGCAUUAGGUUGUCGUGCAGGGGAUGCCCAUCGUUUACUGUGAAAAAAUUAGAGUGUUCAAAGCAGGCUUAUGCCGUUGAAUAUGUUAGCAUGGAAUAAUAAGAUAGGACCUUGGUACUAUUUUGUUGGUUUGCGCACCAAGGUAAUGAUUAAUAGGGACAGUUGGGGGUAUUCGUAUUCCAUUGUCAGAGGUGAAAUUCUUGGAUUUUUGGAAGACGAACUAAUGCGAAAGCAUUUACCAAGGAUGUUUUCA